Suricata suricatta (meerkat) is the source of this 2917-nucleotide long non-coding RNA. The record is from Ensembl. NCBI's taxonomy places the organism in Eukaryota, Metazoa, Chordata, Mammalia, Carnivora, Herpestidae.
GAAUAAAAAAGAUGAGCCAUAAUGACAAAGACAUAACAGAAUUAGAACAAAUUCACAGACUUCUCUUACAGGUAAAGUGAGAUUUUAAAAAGCAAACACAAAAUUUCCAGAGUCAUGUUUUAUUUUAACAUUCGAUCUUAGUGAAGUCACUUCACAAAGAGACACCGCAAGGAAAGAGAAGUCUUUACCCUCUGCAUUCCAAGAGAGUUUGUCUUCCUGGUUUUGUUUUUUAAGUUCAGUUUUAUUAAUCUUGUUCUUGACAACACACAGAGCAUUCUUAUAAGAUCCCAUUUUAAGAGAGCAGAUCGAGUCACAGUAGGCAGGUAAGACCAGGAAGCUAUUUCUAAAUGAGAACAUCCUUCUUGUAUUUCGAACACUUGCCAGGUGCUCAACUUUUGGGAUUUGGCUUCAGUAGUUAAAAAAAAUAAUAAUUCCAAUUGUAAACGUGGGGGCAGAGGGAUGGCUGGUCUCAGCGGAGUGUUACAAAGCAAACGUGGGAAAAACCACCUCUGGAAAGCAGAUGCGAAAGUGAUUUCUAUAGGAGAUUCGAUUAGUCAUCUGGUGAAGCGUUUACCGAUGGUGUCACAGAAAACCGUGAGCCCGUAGUUUACAAAUCGUCUCUUGUAAAAUCUCCAGGGUUCGAAGAAAGUUCGUGGAAAAACACAUAGUGUGUAUUUAAUUUGUUCUGUUCCAAAAUCAGCAUAAAGAACUACUAGAGUUCACUCUCCUAUUUUGUUACAUCUCUUAUACCACGUGGCUUUCUAAAGACUUGUUGUUCUAGAAGUGCCCCCCUCGGCUAGAAAACUAGACUUUGCUCUUGAGAAUUACAGAACUGAGUGAGGAAUGGAUGUCUUCUUUGUCAGCCUCGGGGCCGGCAGCACGGAGCUUCACACCCGUCGCUUAGGACUUCAGAAGCGUUCGCCUUGACCGUCGGUGAUGACAAACAGACAGACUCUCAGGGCAAGCUGCUGCACCCCGUAACGCUGACACCCGACCCCCUUUUCCCUUCCGCGGGUUCACAAGAGCGCCUCCAGCGGCUGCAGGAGCCUAGGCGGCAGCGCCUGGCGGGGGCAGCGCCUGGCGGGGGCAGCGCGCAUGCGCAAGCGCACGGGAAGCCCGUACGCGAGCCACGUCGUGUCUGUGCGCAGGCGCGCCCUCCGUCCUCUGCGUCGUCAGAGCCGCGCGAGCGCUGCUGCUGCACCUCAGCCCUUGUGAUUUCCCGUUUGACGUUCGGGACCAACCUGGCCGCAGCCGCGCUGACUCCAUCUUGGGUUCCUACAAUGUCUGUCAAAGAAAAUAGCACCUUUGGAAGCCUGUGUUAAAAUACUACCAAGGAUCGGCGGAGGCACUGGAAAUGUGUUGCUGUGGAGACCUUACAUCAGAUGCAAUAUAUUAUUUUGAGGUAGAAACAUUUCUAAAAGAUGUAUGUUGUGAAAUUUACAACAGUGAUCAGAACUAGUUUCUAAAGAGGUAUAAAUUAUGUCAUUUGAGGAGAUAAAGUGGAACUUAAAACAUUUAAAGCAAAAUAAAGCAGAAAAGAAACAAAAUCCCCGAUGGAACAAGUGAAAAGCCGCUAGCAAAGUGGUAUACUUUAAUCCAGCUGUCUCCGUAGUCACAUGAAACGGGAAUGUUCUCAGUAUACCAGCGAGAAGACUGAAAGUGUCAAUGGGAUGAAAAAAAAUGAGAGGCAUCUGUCCAGUAUCGACAAGAAUUCAUUUUGCAAAUAGAAACAUAGGUUAAGAGCAAAAGGUUAAAAAAGAUUCACAUGCUAACAGGAAUGCAAAGAAAGCUGGAGGGGCGCCUGGGUGGCUCAGUCGGUUAAGCCUCCGACUUCAGCUCAGGUCAGAUCUCACGUUCGUGGGUUCGAGCCCCGCGUCAGGCUCUGUGCUGACAGCUAGCUCAGAGCCUGGAGCCUGCUUUCGGUUCUGUGUCUCCUCUCUCUGCCCCUCCCCCUCUCAUGCUCUGUCUCUCUCUGUAUCAAAAAUAAAUAAAACAUUAAAAAUUAAAAAAAAAAAAGAAAGAAAGCUGGAAAGCUGUAUUAAUAUCAAGUACUGUGGACUUUAGGACCACAAACUUUAUCAGGGUUUCAGAGAGCUAUGACAACAAAAUGGUUGCUUCUCUGAGCACAUGUAACAGUCCUAUGCACCUAGCAUCAGAGCUUCAAAAUACAUGAAACAGAAACUGAUAACAAUUUUGAGAAUUGAAUCCGCACUGGUAGUUAGAGACUGUAACAGACCUCUCUCUAAUUGAUAAAACAAGUAGACAGAAAUUUAGCAAACGUAUAGAAGACCUGAACAACACCAUUAACACAAUUGGCGUGAACAUGUAUGGAAGAUUCCAACCAACAAAAACAUACUUAUUUUUCUCAAGGGCACAUGGACCACUCAAGACAGGCCUUAUUCUAGGCCGUAAUACAAACCUUAACAAUUUAAAAGACCUAUAAAUCAUACCAAGUAUAUUCUCUGACUUAAUGGAUUAAACUAGAAAUCAGUAACAGAAAGGUUUAUCUAGAAAAUUCCCCAAUAUUUGGAAAUUAAAGAACCCAUAUCUGAGUAACCUACAGGUCAAGAUCUUAAAGGGAAGUAAAAACAUUUUGAAAGGAAUGAAUUGAAAAGACAACAAAAAAAUUAUGGAAUGAAGCUAACGCAGCACUUAGAGGGAAGUUGAUAGCAUUAAGUGAUUGUAUAAGAAAAAAGAAAAAAGGUCUCAAAUCAGCAAUCUAAGCUUCCUCCCUAAGAAGCAAGAGCAAGAAGAGCAAAUUAAAUCCAAAGUAAGCAGAAAGAAAGAGUUUAAAGUACGUAUUGAUGGAAUUGAUAUAGAAAUUAAUAAGAUUAAUGAAAUCAGAAGCUGAUAAAAAUAAAACUAACAAUCUUUUGGCCAUACUUAACAAGUAAAGAAGAUGAAAAUGGCCAAUGUU